This 465-nucleotide ribosomal RNA is filed under the name uncultured bacterium. RNAcentral describes it as "partial 16S ribosomal RNA". It matches the Rfam family "Bacterial small subunit ribosomal RNA", at positions 28 to 507 of the family's 1533-position model. The record is from RNAcentral.
GAUGAACGCUGGCGGCGUGCUUAACACAUGCAAGUCGAACGGAAAGGCACAAGCUUGUUUGGGUACUCGAGUGGCGAACGGGUGAGUAACACGUGGGUAACCUGCCCUGCACUUUGGGAUAAGCCAAGGAAACUGGGUCUAAUACCGGAUAGGACCACAUCUUCGAUGGUGAGGUGGAAAGAUUUUCGGUGUGGGAUGAUGGAGGGGCCUAUGAGCUUGUUGGUGGUGUAAUGGUCGACGACGGCGUCGACGGGUAGUCGGCCUGUGAGGGUGUACGGCGACAUUGGGACUAAGGUACGGCCCAGAGGGGUACGGGGGACAACAGUGGGGAAUCUUGCACAAUGGUCGCGAGUCUGAGGCAGAGACCCCGCGUUUGGGAUGCCGUUUUUCGGGUUAUAAAAAGCUUUCGCUUAAGACGACGCUGUAGUGACGGUACCUGGAGAAGAAGCACCGGCUAACUACGUG